RNAcentral lists this ribosomal RNA (451 nucleotides) under uncultured bacterium. Its description in RNAcentral is "partial 16S ribosomal RNA". It matches the Rfam family "Bacterial small subunit ribosomal RNA", at positions 29 to 523 of the family's 1533-position model. The record is from RNAcentral.
AACGAACGCUGGCGGCAGGCUUAACACAUGCAAGUCGAACGGGUGUAGCAAUACAUCGGUGGCAGACGGGUGAGUAACACGUGGGAACCUUCCUAGGGGUACGGAACAACCCAGGGAAACUUGAGCUAAUACCGUAUACGUCCGUGAGGAGAAAGAUUUAUCGCCCUUAGACGGGCCCGCGUCGGAUUAGCUAGUUGGUGGGGUAACGGCCUACCAAGGCGACGAUCCGUAGCUGAUCUUAGAGGAUGAUCAGCCACACUGGGACUGAGACACGGCCCAGACUCCUACGGGAGGCAGCAGUGGGGAAUCUUGGACAAUGGGCGCAAGCCUGAUCCAGCCAUGCCGCGUGAGUGAAGAAGGUCUUCGGAUUGUAAAGCUCUUUUGCCAGGGACGAUAAUGACGGUACCUGGAGAAUAAGCCCCGGCAAACUUCGUGCCAGCCGCCGCAGUAA